GCGUGAGGAACCUGCCUUGGAGAGGGGAAUAACACUCCGAAAGGAGUGCUAAUACCGCAUGAUGCAGUUGGGUCGCAUGGCUCUGACUGCCAAAGAUUUAUCGCUCUGAGAUGGCCUCGCGUCUGAUUAGCUAGUAGGCGGGGUAACGGCCCACCUAGGCGACGAUCAGUAGCCGGACUGAGAGGUUGACCGGCCACAUUGGGACUGAGACACGGCCCAGACUCCUACGGGAGGCAGCAUG
This 241-nucleotide ribosomal RNA is filed under the name uncultured bacterium. RNAcentral describes it as "partial 16S ribosomal RNA". It matches the Rfam family "Bacterial small subunit ribosomal RNA", at positions 115 to 353 of the family's 1533-position model. The record is from RNAcentral.